This 310-nucleotide ribosomal RNA is filed under the name uncultured bacterium. RNAcentral's name for it is "bacterial SSU rRNA". It matches the Rfam family "Bacterial small subunit ribosomal RNA", at positions 29 to 334 of the family's 1533-position model. The record is from RNAcentral.
AACGAACGCUGGUGGCAUGCCUAAUACAUGCAAGUCGAACGAGAAAGCUCUUCGGAGUGAGUAGAGUGGCGCACGGGUGAGUAACACGUAGGUGACCUACCCUUUUGUGGGGAAUAACAGAGAGAAAUUUCUGCUAAUACCGCAUAAGGUACACGAUUUUGAAAGUAGUGUAGAAAGGGGGCGCAAGCUCUCGCAGAAGGAAGGGCCUGCGGAUCAUUAGCUUGUUGGUGGGGUAAUGGCCUACCAAGGCGACGAUGAUUAGCUGGUCUGAGAGGAUGAUCAGUCACACUGGAACUGAGACACGGUCCAG